GUGGGGAAUAUUGGACAAUGGGCGCAAGCCUGAUCCAGCAAUGCCGCGUGGGUGAAGAAGGUCUUCGGAUCGUAAAGCCCUUUCGACAGGGACGAUGAUGACGGUAACAUCAGAAGAAGCUCCGGCUAACUUCGUGCCAGCAGCCGCGGUAAUACGAAGGGAGCGAGCGUUGUUCGGAAUCACUGGGCGUAAAGAGUGCGUAGGCGGUUAUACAAGUCAGGAGUGAAAUCCCAGGGCUCAACCCUGGAAUUGCUUUUGAAACUGUAUAGCUAGAGUCCCGGAGGGGUUAAUGGAAUUCCGAGUGUAGAGGUGAAAUUCGCAGAUAUUCGGAGGAACACCAGUGGCGAAGGCGAUUAACUGGACGGGCACUGACGCUGAGGCACGAAAGCGUGGGGAUCAAACAGGAUUAGAUACCCGAGUAGUCC
This 425-nucleotide ribosomal RNA is filed under the name uncultured bacterium. RNAcentral's name for it is "partial 16S ribosomal RNA". It matches the Rfam family "Bacterial small subunit ribosomal RNA", at positions 354 to 796 of the family's 1533-position model. The record is from RNAcentral.